RNAcentral lists this ribosomal RNA (468 nucleotides) under uncultured bacterium. Its description in RNAcentral is "partial 16S ribosomal RNA". It matches the Rfam family "Bacterial small subunit ribosomal RNA", at positions 28 to 507 of the family's 1533-position model. The record is from RNAcentral.
GACGAACGCUGGCGGCGUGCUUAACACAUGCAAGUCGAACGGAAAGGCCCUGCUUUUGUGGGGUGCUCGAGUGGCGAACGGGUGAGUAACACGUGAGUAACCUGCCCUUGACUUUGGGAUAACUUCAGGAAACUGGGGCUAAUACCGGAUAGGAUCUCCUGCUGCAUGGUGGGGGUUGGAAAGUUUCGGCGGUUGGGGAUGGACUCGCGGCUUAUCCGCUUGUUGGUGGGGUAGUGGCUUACCAAGGCUUUGACGGGUAGCCGGCCUGAGAGGGUGACCGGCCACAUUGGGCCUGCGAUACGGCCCAGACUCCUACGGGAGGCAGCAGUGGGGAAUAUUGCACAAUGGGCGGAAGCCUGAUGCAGCAACGCCGCGUGCGGGAUGACGGCCUUCGGGUUGUAAACCGCUUUCGCCUGUGACGAAGCGUGAGUGACGGUAAUGGGUAAAGAAGCACCGGCUAACUACGUG